Molecule: long non-coding RNA, 101 nt
Organism: Herpailurus yagouaroundi (jaguarundi)
Lineage: Eukaryota; Metazoa; Chordata; Mammalia; Carnivora; Felidae
Exons: 3
Source: RefSeq, a predicted model, not a curated record
AUGUGUGCUCUUCAGAUUGUGGAACCAAAGAGGGCUGUCUCCAGAGAAGAUUCUCAAAGACCUGGUGCCCACUUAACUGUGAAAAAGAUUUUUGUUGGUGG